GUGCUCACUUCGGCAGCACAUACACGAAAAUGGGAACAAUACAGAGAAGAUUAGCAUGGAGGAGCACCCGGAUACAUAAAGCAAGUUCUU
Molecule: small nuclear RNA, 90 nt
Filed under: Aotus nancymaae (Ma's night monkey)
Lineage: Eukaryota; Metazoa; Chordata; Mammalia; Primates; Aotidae
Source: RNAcentral